UCCCGCUUAUCACGGGCAGUUCCCCUAAAGUGCCCACCAUAACGUGCUGGCAACCAAGGGUGUGGGUUGCGCUCGUUGCCGGACUUAACCGAACAUCUCACGACACGAGCUGACGACAGCCAUGCAGCACCUGUCCACCCGUCCCUUGCGGGAAAGACGCCUCUCAGCGCCGGUCGGGCGAUGUCAAGGGUUGGUAAGGUUCUGCGCGUUGCUUCGAAUUAAUCCACAUCAUCCACCGCUUGUGCGGGUCCCCGUCAAUUCCUUUGAGUUUUAAUCUUGCGACCGUACUCCCCAGGCGGUCUACUUCCCGCGUUAGCUGCGUUACCAAGGAAAUUAAUCCCCGACAACUAGUAGACAUCGUUUAGGGCGUGGACUAC
RNAcentral lists this unclassified non-coding RNA (377 nucleotides) under uncultured Pseudomonadota bacterium. RNAcentral's name for it is "uncultured proteobacterium contains 16S-23S intergenic spacer region". Lineage: Bacteria; Pseudomonadati; Pseudomonadota. The record is from RNAcentral.